Long non-coding RNA from Triticum dicoccoides, 306 nucleotides. RefSeq lists it as uncharacterized. The record is from RefSeq and is a predicted model, not a curated record. NCBI's taxonomy places the organism in Eukaryota, Viridiplantae, Streptophyta, Magnoliopsida, Poales, Poaceae. The transcript is spliced from 3 exons.
CGUCCUUAGCCACGCCUAGCCGUGCUCCCUGCCCGCCGUCCUUCUAGUUGAUUGGCCCUCAUGCUCCGACGUGGACAUCUUCUGCUAAUGGAGAUUGGCCCAUACACGAUGGAGAUUGGAAUUUGUGAAGAUUGUUUUUCAUUGGGAGAUAAGUAGCAUUUUCCGAGUCAGCUUUCAGUAGAAGUGGAAGAGUACUUAGUGAGCACCGCAGUCGUCUGACCCCUGAUUUGCUAGAGGCUUUAAUGUGUUCACAAAACUGGGAGAGAAACAAAGCUAAAGAUGAUGAGAAGACCGAGGAUGCUAGUU